GACGAACGCUGGCGGCGCGCCUAACACAUGCAAGUCGAGCGGAGGUACUUGAAGGAAGUUUUCGGAUGAAAUUUGAGUAUUUUAGCGGCGGACGGGUGAGUAACGCGUGAGUGACCUGCCUUCCACAGGGGGAUAACGUACCGAAAGGUACACUAAUACCGCAUGAGACCACAGCACUGCCUGGUGCAGGGGUCAAAGGAGCAAUCCGGUGGAAGAUGGACUCGCGUCCGAUUAGAUAGUUGGUGGGGUAACGGCCUACCAAGUCAGCGAUCGGUAGCCGACCUGAGAGGGUGAUCGGCCACAUUGGAACUGAGAGACGGUCCAAACUCCUACGGGAGGCAGCAGUGGGGAAUAUUGGGCAAUGGGGGAAACCCUGACCCAGCGACGCCGCGUGAGGGAAGAAGGUUUUCGGAUUGUAAACCUCUGUUCUUGGUGAAGAGGGAAAGACGGUAGCCAAGGAGGAAGCCCCGGCUAACUACGUGCCAGCCGCCGCCGUAA
Molecule: ribosomal RNA, 498 nt
Filed under: uncultured bacterium
Lineage: Bacteria
Description: partial 16S ribosomal RNA
Rfam family: Bacterial small subunit ribosomal RNA
Source: RNAcentral